UACGGAGGGUCCGAGCGUUAAUCGGAAUUACUGGGCGUAAAGCGCACGCAGGCGGUUUGUUAAGCUAGAUGUGAAAGCCCCGGGCUCAACCUGGGAAUUGCAUUUAGAACUGGCAGGUUAGAGUCUUGGAGAGGGGAGUGGAAUUCCAGGUGUAGCGGUGAAAUGCGUAGAUAUCUGGAGGAACAUCAGUGGCGAAGGCGACUCCCUGGCCAAAGACUGACGCUCAUGUGCGAAAGUGUGGGUAGCGAACAGG
Molecule: ribosomal RNA, 253 nt
Filed under: uncultured bacterium
Lineage: Bacteria
Description: partial 16S ribosomal RNA
Rfam family: Bacterial small subunit ribosomal RNA
Source: RNAcentral